GCCCGCUUGGCUAAGUGGUAUAGCGUGUCACUAGUAUUUCUAGGAGUCAUGACAAGAUCAGCGGUUCGAUUCCGCUAGUGGGCA
This 84-nucleotide transfer RNA is filed under the name Xylaria arbuscula. RNAcentral describes it as "tRNA-Thr". It matches the Rfam family "tRNA". From Rfam's summary of the family: Transfer RNA (tRNA) molecules are approximately 80 nucleotides in length. Their secondary structure includes four short double-helical elements and three loops (D, anti-codon, and T loops). Further hydrogen bonds mediate the characteristic L-shaped molecular structure. tRNAs have two regions of fundamental functional importance: the anti-codon, which is responsible for specific mRNA codon recognition, and the 3' end, to which the tRNAs corresponding amino acid is attached (by aminoacyl-tRNA synthetases). tRNAs cope with the degeneracy of the genetic code in two manners: having more than one tRNA (with a specific anti-codon) for a particular amino acid; and 'wobble' base-pairing, i.e. permitting non-standard base-pairing at the 3rd anti-codon position. The record is from RNAcentral. Lineage: Eukaryota; Fungi; Ascomycota; Sordariomycetes; Xylariales; Xylariaceae.